GACGAACGCUGGCGGCGUGCUUAACACAUGCAAGUCGAACGGAAAGGCCCUGCUUUUGUGGGGUGCUCGAGUGGAGAACGGGUGAGUAACACGAGAGUAACCUGCCCUUGACUUUGGGAUAAUUUCAGGAAACUGGGGCUUAUACCGGAUAGGAGCUCCUGCCGCAUGGUGGGGGUUGGAAAGUCUCGGCGGUUGGGGAGGGUCUCGCGGCUUCUCCGCUUGUUGGGGGGGUAGUGGCUUACCAAGGCUUUGACGGGUAGCCGGCCUGAGAGGGUGACCGGCCACAUUGGGACUGAGAUACGGCCCAGACUCCUACGGGAGGCAGCAGUGGGGAAUAUUGCACAAUGGGCGGAAGCCUGAUGCAGCAACGCCGCGUGCGGGAUGACGGCCUUCGGGUUGUAAACCGCUUUCGCCUGUGACGAAGCGUGAGUGACGGUAAUGGGUAAAGAAGCACCGGCUAACUACGUG
RNAcentral lists this ribosomal RNA (468 nucleotides) under uncultured bacterium. RNAcentral's name for it is "partial 16S ribosomal RNA". It matches the Rfam family "Bacterial small subunit ribosomal RNA", at positions 28 to 507 of the family's 1533-position model. The record is from RNAcentral.